Molecule: ribosomal RNA, 497 nt
Filed under: uncultured bacterium
Lineage: Bacteria
Description: partial 16S ribosomal RNA
Rfam family: Bacterial small subunit ribosomal RNA
Source: RNAcentral
GAUGAACGCUGGCGGCGUGCCUAAUACAUGCAAGUCGAGCGAACGGACGAGAAGCUUGCUUCUCUGAUGUUAGCGGCGGACGGGUGAGUAACACGUGGAUAACCUACCUAUAAGACUGGGAUAACUUCGGGAAACCGGAGCUAAUACCGGAUAAUAUUUUGAACCGCAUGGUUCAAAAGUGAAAGACGGUCUUGCUGUCACUUAUAGAUGGAUCCGCGCUGCAUUAGCUAGUUGGUAAGGUAACGGCUUACCAAGGCAACGAUGCAUAGCCGACCUGAGAGGGGGAUCGGCCACACUGGAACUUAGACACGGUCCAGACUCCUACGGGAGGCAGCAGUAGGGAAUGUUCCGCAGUGGGCGAAAGCCUGACGGAGCAACGCCGCGUGAGUGAUGAAGGUCUUCGGAUCGUAAAACUCUGUUAUUAGGGAAGAACAUAUGUGUAAGUAACUGUGCACAUCUUGACGGUACCUAAUCAGAAAGCCACGGCUAACUACGUG